CUGACAAGACAGAAAGAGAGCUGGGUUGAGGUCGGGGCGGAUUCAGAGCCCACCGUGUCAGCAAAGACACAUAAGGAACUCGCCCUCCGGAAAGACGCGGGGGAAUUCUGGGAGUGCGCGGCCUUGGAGCGCGCACAUGCGCGGCAGCUCCCGCUGCUGAAUAGCUGAGAGGCGCACCCGGGCGGCCAGCUGGGCUCGGAGUGCAGCGGGGUUAGGAUGGACGAGGACGUGUUGCACCCUGAAGAGCCUCAUCAUCGGUGAGAGUGGGGUGGGCAAGUCCAGCCUGCUCUUGAGGUUCACAGAUGAUACCUUUGAUCCAGAACUUGCAGCAACAAUAGAUCCAUCUUCGGUUGUGAAUCCGGCCCGGAAUGCAGCCACCCCUUAGAGCAACCCCCCUUGCUGCUCGUGCCCUGCUGUGCUACUGCCUCAGUCACUUCCUGCUUGGUCAAGACCACAGCUGCUGAUGUCACAGCUGAGGCACAUCAGAAAGGCUGCCUGAUUCAAAGAAAGCUGCCGGAUAAAUCAUAGAGCACAGACACUUCUACCUCAUGCUCUUAUGGGACUUUAGGAACCAAACAUAAGCACCUAUGGAAAAUGCACGGCGGUCUUGAAAGGCUGUGGUCUUUAUCAGAAAAUAUCUGAAUGACUGUUUGUUAUGUCAGUCCUACUCUGCAGGCUUGCUAAGAUGAUGAUUGAAAGGGCUCUUGGUUUCUGCUUUGGAAUCUGGCAUUUAUGUUUUGAAGCGUUGUGAGCAAGCGAUGUGGCAGAUUGCAGGGUGAGGGGGACAAACCUGGGCCAGGAGCCAGGGGUUUCUCUACCCCCUUCCCUGACUUACAGCUGGAACUGGGCUCAGUGGUUUCAGCCUCAUUUGCUAAGAAGGUCUGGGUAUGUAAUCCUGGCUGCAUCUUAAAAUCCCUAGGAGCUUUUAAGACAUAUUGACACAUAAGCUCUAACUCACAUGAAACGAAAACACAUCUCUGGGGCUGGGCUGAGCAAAUGCAUUUUUUAAAAGGCCCCUCAGGUGAUUCUGUCUCAGAGAUGUUGAAAACCAGUGGGUUAGGAGCUCAGUCAUCCACUUUCAGAUCUGUGAUUAUGCCACUAUUAAAUACAGUUGGCUAUCACAUAGAUUUUAUGCUUUAGCUUGUUCUUUUUUCCUUUGCUAUACCAAAUAAAAUCUUCUGAGCUGUAGUUCCAGUCCUUAAAAUAAUGGUUGUUACCAUACUGAGGUUAAACAUUAGUGCAUUUGCUUAACAAGGACUUUAAAACUUAUCACACUGCCAUAAUUUUUAAUGGUUUCUAUAAUGAUUAAUUAAUAAGAAAAUCAAUAAUUGGAUUUUAAGCAGGAAACUAGGCAGGAAAGUUGAAAUUCAUAGACCAAUUCAAUGGAAAACAUUAAAAUGUAUUGGGAGAUGCCCAAUAUUCUA
This 1424-nucleotide long non-coding RNA is filed under the name Homo sapiens (human). RNAcentral describes it as "PREDICTED lncRNA (TCONS_00026198)". The record is from RNAcentral. Lineage: Eukaryota; Metazoa; Chordata; Mammalia; Primates; Hominidae.